This 577-nucleotide ribosomal RNA is filed under the name Sarcocystis sp. Mh 12-15. RNAcentral's name for it is "SSU rRNA". It matches the Rfam family "Eukaryotic small subunit ribosomal RNA", at positions 435 to 1008 of the family's 1831-position model. Lineage: Eukaryota; Apicomplexa; Conoidasida; Eucoccidiorida; Sarcocystidae. The record is from RNAcentral.
CGCAAAUUACCCAAUCCUGACUCAGGGAGGUAGUGACAAGAAAUAACAACACUGGAAAUUUUAUUUCUAGUGAUUGGAAUGAUGGGAAUUUAAACCCCUUUCAGAGUAACAAUUGGAGGGCAAGUCUGGUGCCAGCAGCCGCGGUAAUUCCAGCUCCAAUAGCGUAUAUUAAAGUUGUUGCAGUUAAAAAGCUCGUAGUUGGAUAUCUGCUGGAAGCAAUCAGUCCGCCCUAUUUGUAGGGUGUGCACUUGAUGAAUUCUGGCAUCUAUGUCCCGAUAAUAUAACGUGGAGGUCGUCCUCCCGUUUAUUGGGAACAUACUGUUACUUUGAGAAAAUUAGAGUGUUUGAAGCAGGCUAAUUGCCUUGAAUACUGCAGCAUGGAAUAACAAUAUAGGAUUUCGGUUCUAUUUUGUUGGUUUCUAGGACUGAAAUAAUGAUUAAUAGGGACAGUUGGGGGCAUUCGUAUUUAACUGUCAGAGGUGAAAUUCUUAGAUUUGUUAAAGACGAACUACUGCGAAAGCAUUUGCCAAAGAUGUUUUCAUUAAUCAAGAACGAAAGUUAGGGGCUCGAAGACGAU